CCCGCCUACUCAUGAAGUCGUACACCUGAAGGUCCAGCGAGUGGGGUUGGUAUCAAUGUGUAGGCCUAGUGGAUCCACACCGUGACCUAGUGCACUGGACCCUGUUGAUAUGCAGCCACCUCAGCUUCAUGAAGAAACGGCAAGAUUCAGAUGACUACACCGUUUCAGAUCUACUCAUCUCGCUCACCUGUCCACCUGGAUGAAGGAUCACACUCUGCAGCUGAACAUGUCCAAAACCAAGCUCCCAAUCAAAUUGUUCUAGGUUAAUCUCUAACA
Long non-coding RNA from Engraulis encrasicolus (European anchovy), 276 nucleotides. RefSeq lists it as uncharacterized. The record is from RefSeq and is a predicted model, not a curated record. The transcript has 3 exons. NCBI's taxonomy places the organism in Eukaryota, Metazoa, Chordata, Actinopteri, Clupeiformes, Engraulidae.